GAUGAACGCUGGCGGCGUGCCUAAUACAUGCAAGUCGAACGAGGCCCUUUGUAUUCGUACGAAGGUGUCCUAGUGGCGAACGGGUGAGUAACACGUAGGUGACCUGCCCCGAAGCGGGGGACAACUCCGGGAAACUGGAGCUAAUACCCCAUGUUCUCCAUGGUGUUAGAGGACCAUGGAGCAAAGGAGCAAUCCACUUUGGGAGGGGCCUGCGGCCCAUCAGCUAGUUGGUAGGGUAAUGGCCUACCAAGGCUAUGACGGGUAGGGGACCUGAGAGGGUGGUCCCCCACACUGGAACUGAAACACGGACCAGACACCUACGGGUGGCAGCAGUAGGGAAUAUUGCACAAUGGGCGAAAGCCUGAUGCAGCAACGCCGCGUGCGCGAUGAAGGCCUUCGGGUUGUAAAGCGCUUUUCUGGGGGAAGAGGAAGGACGGUACCCCAGGAAUAAGUCUCGGCUAACUACGUGCCAGCAGCCGCGGUAAAACGUAGGAGGCGAGCGUUAUCCGGAUUUACUGGGCGUAAAGCGCGUGUAGGCGGUUAGGUAAGUCGGACGUGAAAGCUCCCGGCUCAACUGGGAGAGGCCGUUCGAAACUACCUGACUUGAGGGCAGUAGAGGGAGGUGGAAUUCCGGGUGUAGCGGUGAAAUGCGUAGAUAUCCGGAGGAACACCAGUGGCGAAGGCGGCCUCCUGGGCUGACCCUGACGCUCAGACGCGAAAGCUAGGGUAGCAAACGGGAUUAGACACCCCGGUAGUCCUAGCUGUAAACGAUGCAGACUUGGUGUUGGCAGUUUAAACACAGUCAGUGCCGUAGCUAACGCGAUAAGUCUGCCGCCUGGGGGACUACGACCGCAAGGUUA
Molecule: ribosomal RNA, 860 nt
Filed under: uncultured Chloroflexota bacterium
Lineage: Bacteria; Bacillati; Chloroflexota
Description: bacterial SSU rRNA
Rfam family: Bacterial small subunit ribosomal RNA
Source: RNAcentral